Molecule: long non-coding RNA, 1988 nt
Organism: Sphaeramia orbicularis (orbiculate cardinalfish)
Lineage: Eukaryota; Metazoa; Chordata; Actinopteri; Kurtiformes; Apogonidae
Exons: 2
Source: RefSeq, a predicted model, not a curated record
UCAAAGGUCAGACAGAGAGUGCAGGUCAGCAGCUAAACUCUGUACAUCUGAAAAACAGCCUCUGUCUCUCAACACUGUCUUUACUGGUUUUCCUUUCUGUCAAACACCAAUAAUGACAUUAAUGUAAAGUUCAAUAAGGUCACAUAUGUCACUCGUCUGUCAGUACAGAAAACACUGUCUACAGUUCUGUUUUUGGAAAUUAUUUGCUUCAGAGAUUAAAUGUGCUAAAUCUUUCGCACUUCAAUAAUUUAUGUGACCUUUUCAGUGUACAUAAUGAAGAGUUAUUACACAUAUGUUGAUUUUUGUCCAUUUAUCCAAUAGGUUUCCUAAAUUUUUCAGUAUAAGAACCUGUAAAUUGAAUGUAUAAUAUGCAGACAGUGUUUUGAAGUAAAUAUAGUAGCUCUGAGACAACCAUUCCUUUUGAGUAAAACCCAUCCUCUCAUUAAAUAUCACAAUUAACAUUUUGACCCAGAAAAAAAUAACCAACCACAUUUGGGACUGUAUUUUUAUUUAUUAGUGACUCAAACCUGGUAAAGUUUCACUACUUUUACUCUAGAGGCAUUUUACCUAUAAUAAACACAUGUACAGCAGCACUGGUUUUUAUGUACAGAUACUGCGAGAUUGGUGCACUGCUGGCUUCAGAUCUCAAAUACGAUGACAGACACAAGAGAGUAGAGGGAGUUAUGUAGAUUUAACCUUACAGAGUCAAUAAACCAACAAUAACAUGACAUAAGCGUCAGGAAAAGUGAAAUAUCCCUCAUGAUUUAGAAUGACUGUAAUUUUACAGUGUAUCAGUAAAUCAUCUGGAUGUUCGCUAGAUCUAUGACUGAGCUUUUUAUUUGUAGAUCAUUCUGAAUUUAUCAAUGCUUCAUAGUCACUGACUGAAUCGUCUCCUUGUUUGAUUUAAGUCCAUUAUUUUUCAAUGACUAACAAAUGUAGAAAAAAAUGGCACAAGCUUCAUGCUGUACAUCCUUCACUGUGGCUCAUUCAUGAUUUUUCUUCAUGAAUUUAACCGUUUGUGUGAAUGUGACUGGAUCUUUGUUUGGCUUUAACAGGUACUGCUUUCAGACAGCAGGAGGCAGCAGAGGCACAGGUUUAACAUGACGCAGCACUAUGGGGAUUAUUGUAUUACAUAAAAUAGAAGGUAAGGAGGGUGUCUGUAAAGGCUGUUUCUCCAACUCAGGGUUUACCUCCACAAAUAAUAGCACUGAAUCACUGAACGCAUUGCAACACUAUCUGUUGGCUGUAACUCGAUCAAAAAUAAUUAUUUUAAAUAAAUCUGAUCUGUGAUAGAAACAGACUGUGUUACCAACGACGCGGCUGAGCCUCAGGAUUAAAAUCAGAGCCCGUUAAUCAAUCAAACGGCUGCAAAUGACACUGGACCCACAUCUAAUGGUUCUCAGUCUGUGUGGAAGAUGGGUGUAUUUGUAGCAUUAUUCAGUCAGAUGUUCUCCUGCUGAUGGGCGGUGGUGUCAUGAGACCACAGCUCCACCACAAAGUCAGUUUUUAGACGUUUAUAGAUAGAAACAUUAAUGCACAUCAGACUGUACCUGGUCUUUAUCACCACUAGAAACUGUCAGAUUCGCCCCUUAUCUGACCUGCUACAAAGUGAACUCAAACAGCAGAUAAAUUAAAAGGUAAUGUAGAUUAUUAGUAUUAGUAUAGUAGUAGUAGUAGUAGUAGUAUGUAGUAGUAUCUGCAUGAUACACAUAUAUUAUUGGACAAGACUGAACGUUUAAUUCCAUUUUUGUUUCUUAAAUCCAAUCCAGACCCAUUCUGGACCCAAUCUGAACCCAGUCUUCUACUGGAACCAGAAUGAUCCUGAUGUUCUGGAUCACAGAGUCAUCUGACCCGGAUCUGCAAAUACAAAGAAGUUAUGCCGUACUUUCAAUGGAGAGGUUCUCAAUGCCGCGGCGUUCUCCACGGCUGCAGUGAGGUGGCAGACAGAACCCACGGAUACUCCGACCGGUCCGGACCCGGGAGCUCAG